Molecule: ribosomal RNA, 253 nt
Filed under: uncultured bacterium
Lineage: Bacteria
Description: partial 16S ribosomal RNA
Rfam family: Bacterial small subunit ribosomal RNA
Source: RNAcentral
UACGUAGGGACCGAGCGUUGUCCGGAAUCAUUGGGCGUAAAGAGCGUGUAGGCGGCUCGCUAAGUCUUGCGUGAAAUCUCGGGGCUCAACCCCGAGCGGUCGUGAGAAACUGGCGGGCUAGAGUGCGGGAGAGGAGAGUGGAAUUCCUGGUGUAGCGGUGAAAUGCGCAGAUAUCAGGAAGAACACCCGUGGCGAAGGCGGCUCUCUGGAACGCAACUGACGCUGAGACGCGAAAGCGUGGGUAGCAAACAGG